Molecule: ribosomal RNA, 308 nt
Filed under: uncultured eukaryote
Lineage: Eukaryota
Description: SSU rRNA
Rfam family: Eukaryotic small subunit ribosomal RNA
Source: RNAcentral
AAUUAUUUAUUUGAUGGUUUCUUACUACAUGGAUAACCGUAGUAAUUCUAGAGCUAAUACAUGCGUAAAGUCCCGACUCUCGCGGGGAGGGAUGUAUUUAUUAGAUAAAAAACCAAUGCGGCCUUUGGUCGGACUUGUGUUGAUUCAUAGUAACUUUUCGGAUCGCAGGGCUUCACGCCGGCGACAGUUCAUUCAAAUUUCUGCCCUAUCAGCUUUCGACGGUAGUGUAGUGGACUACCGUGGCAUUUACGGGUGACGGAGAAUUAGGGUUCGAUUCCGGAGAGGGAGCCUGAGAAACGGCUACCACA